UACAGAGGGUGCGAGCGUUAAUCGGAAUUACUGGGCGUAAAGCGUGCGUAGACGGUUAUUUAAGUCGGGUGUGAAAGCCCCGGGCUCAACCUGGGAAUUGCAUUCGAGACUGAAUAGCUAGGGUACGGUAGAGGGAAGCGGAAUUUCCGGUGUAGCGGUGAAAUGCGUAGAUAUCGGAAGGAACAUCAGUGGCGAAAGCGGCUUCCUGGACCAGUACCGACGUUCAGACACGAAAGCGUGGGGAGCAAACAGG
RNAcentral lists this ribosomal RNA (253 nucleotides) under uncultured bacterium. Its description in RNAcentral is "partial 16S ribosomal RNA". It matches the Rfam family "Bacterial small subunit ribosomal RNA", at positions 524 to 776 of the family's 1533-position model. The record is from RNAcentral.